GAUGAACGCUGGCGGCGUGCCUAAUACAUGCAAGUCGAGCGAACAGACGAGGAGCUUGCUCCUCUGACGUUAGCGGCUGACGGGUGAGUAACACGUGGAUAACCUACCUAUAAGACUUGGAUAACUUCGGGAAACCGGAGCUAAUACCGGAUAAUAUAUUGAACCGCAUGGUUCAAUAGUUCAAGACGGUUUUGCUGUCACUUAUAGAUGGAUCCGCGCCGCAUUAUCUAGUUGGUAAGGUAACGGCUUACCAAGGCAACGAUGCGUAGCCGACCUGAGGAGGUGAUCGGCCACACUUGAACUGAGACAAGGUCCAGAAUCCUAAGGGAGGCAGGAGGAGGGAAUCUUCCGAAAUGGGGGAAAGGCCGAAGGAGGCACGACGCGUGAGUGAUAAAGGGCUUCGGAGCUGAAAACUCUGUUAGUAGGGAAAGAAAAAUGGGUAAGUAACAAUGCACUGCUUGAAGGGACCUAAUAAGAAAGCCACGGCUAACUACGUG
Molecule: ribosomal RNA, 497 nt
Filed under: uncultured bacterium
Lineage: Bacteria
Description: partial 16S ribosomal RNA
Rfam family: Bacterial small subunit ribosomal RNA
Source: RNAcentral